AGAGGCUUCCGCAAUGGGGGAAACCCUGACGGAGCGACGCCGCGUGAGGGAUGAAGGCUUUCGGGUUGUAAACCUCUUUCAGGAGGGAAGAAAGGUCGGCGAGUGAACAAUUCUCCGGCUGUGACGGUACCUCCAUAAGAAGCUCCGGCUAACUCCGUGCCAGCAGCCGCGGUAACACGGGGGGAGCAAGCGUUGUUCGGCUUCAUUGGGCGUAAAGGGCGCGUAGGCGGCUUGGCAAGUUUGACGUGAAAUGUACCGGUUCAACCGGGGCGCUGUGUCAAAAACUGCCUUGCUUGAGGUCGAGGGAGGAAAGUGGAAUUCCUGGUGUAGCGGUGAAAUGCGUAGAUAUCAGGAGGAACACCCGUGGCGAAGGCGGCUUUCUAUCUCGAUUCUGACGCUGAGGCGCGAAAGCUAGGGGAGCAAAC
RNAcentral lists this ribosomal RNA (425 nucleotides) under uncultured bacterium. Its description in RNAcentral is "bacterial SSU rRNA". It matches the Rfam family "Bacterial small subunit ribosomal RNA", at positions 358 to 773 of the family's 1533-position model. The record is from RNAcentral.